AAAUCGUGAGGGUUCAAGUCCCUCUAUCCCC
RNAcentral lists this transfer RNA (31 nucleotides) under Myrtus communis var. communis. RNAcentral describes it as "partial transfer RNA-Leu". The record is from RNAcentral. Lineage: Eukaryota; Viridiplantae; Streptophyta; Magnoliopsida; Myrtales; Myrtaceae.